Molecule: ribosomal RNA, 506 nt
Filed under: uncultured bacterium
Lineage: Bacteria
Description: partial 16S ribosomal RNA
Rfam family: Bacterial small subunit ribosomal RNA
Source: RNAcentral
AGUGAACGCUGGCGGUAGGCCUAACACAUGCAAGUCGAACGGCAGCACAGGAGAGCUUGCUCUCUGGGUGGCGAGUGGCGGACGGGUGAGGAAUACAUCGGAAUCUACUCUGUCGUGGGGGAUAACGUAGGGAAACUUACGAUAAUACCGCAUACGACCUACGGGUGAAAGAAGGGGACCUUCGGGCCUUGCGCGAUUGAAUGAGCCGAUGUCGGAUUAGCUAGUUGGCGGGGUAAAGGCCCACCAAGGCGACGAUCCGUAGCUGGUCUGAGAGGAUGAUCAGCCACACUGGAACUGAGACACGGUCCAGACUCCUACGGGAGGCAGCAGUGGGGAAUAUUGGACAAUGGGCGCAAGCCUGAUCCAGCCAUACCGCGUGGGUGAAGAAGGCCUUCGGGUUGUAAAGCCCUUUUGUUGGGAAAGAAAUCCAGCUGGCUAAUACCCGGUUGGGAUGACGGUACCCAAAGAAUAAGCACCGGCUAACUUCGUGCCAGCCGCCGCAGUAA